RNAcentral lists this small nuclear RNA (104 nucleotides) under Propithecus coquereli (Coquerel's sifaka). Lineage: Eukaryota; Metazoa; Chordata; Mammalia; Primates; Indriidae. The record is from RNAcentral.
UUGCUUCAGCAGCAAAUGUACUAGAACUGGCACCAAACAGGAGAAGAUUAACAUGGCACCUGCACAAGGAUGACACGCAAAUUUGCAAUGUGUUCUAUAUAGAA